RNAcentral lists this ribosomal RNA (686 nucleotides) under uncultured Bacilli bacterium. Its description in RNAcentral is "bacterial SSU rRNA". It matches the Rfam family "Bacterial small subunit ribosomal RNA", at positions 64 to 737 of the family's 1533-position model. The record is from RNAcentral. Lineage: Bacteria; Bacillati; Bacillota; Bacilli.
GAGCGACCGGUGCUUGCACUGGUCAAUCUAGUGGCGAACGGGUGAGUAACACGUGGGUAACCUGCCCAUCAGAGGGGGAUAACAUCCGGAAACGGAUGCUAAAACCGCAUAGGUCUUCGAGCCGCAUGGCUUGAAGAGGAAAAGAGGCGCAAGCUUCUGCUGAUGGAUGGACCCGCGGUGCAUUAGCUAGUUGGUGAGGUAACGGCUCACCAAGGCCGUGAUGCAUAGCCGACCUGAGAGGGUGAUCGGCCACAUUGGGACUGAGAUACGGCCCAAACUCCUACGGGAGGCAGCAGUAGGGAAUCUUCCGCAAUGGACGCAAGUCUGACGGAGCAACGCCGCGUGAGUGAAGAAGGUUUUCGGAUCGUAAAACUCUGUUGUUAGAGAAGAACAAGUGCUAGAGUAACUGUUAGCGCCUUGACGGUAUCUAACCAGAAAGCCACGGCUAACUACGUGCCAGCAGCCGCGGUAAUACGUAGGUGGCAAGCGUUGUCCGGAUUUAUUGGGCGUAAAGCGAGCGCAGGCGGUUCCUUAAGUCUGAUGUGAAAGCCCCCGGCUCAACCGGGGAGGGUCAUUGGAAACUGGGGAACUUGAGUGCAGAAGAGGAGAGUGGAAUUCCAUGUGUAGCGGUGAAAUGCGUAGAUAUAUGGAGGAACACCAGUGGCGAAGGCGACUCUCUGGUCUGU